CCCUUAGAUGUUCUGGGCUGCACGCGUGCUACACUGAUAUUGCCAAUAUGUCAUUCUUAUCCGAAAUGGAUUGGGUAAUCAAGUAAUGAAAUUUCAUGCUUGGAAUCGGUAAUUGCAAUUUUAUCGUGAACGAGGAAUUCCUAGUAGACGUAGUUCAUCAGACUGCAUCGAUUACGUCCCUGCCCUUUGUACACACCGCCCGUCGCUCCUACCGAUUGAAUGCUCAGGUGAGCCAUUCGGACUUUCAUCAUGCUGGUUUCCAGUUUUGAUGAAGGAAAGUCUUGCGAACCUUAUCAUUUAGAGGAAGGAGAAGUCGUAACA
This 321-nucleotide ribosomal RNA is filed under the name uncultured eukaryote. RNAcentral's name for it is "partial 18S ribosomal RNA". It matches the Rfam family "Eukaryotic small subunit ribosomal RNA", at positions 1470 to 1796 of the family's 1831-position model. The record is from RNAcentral.